AUUAAAUAGCCGCAGUAUUUUGACUGUGCGAAGGUAGCAUAAUCAUUUGUCUUUUAAUUGAAGGCUUGAAUGAAUGGUUUGAUGAGAAGACAACUUUCUUUAUAUAAAAUAUUGAAUUUAAUUUUUAAGUUAAAAAGCUUAAAUGUUUAAAUGGGACGAGAAGACCCUAUAGAAUUUUAUUCUUUGUUAUUUUAAUUAAUGAUUUGGUAGAUAUCUUUGUUAUUAUAAUAGGAAUUUUGUUGGGGUGACAGUGAGAUUUAUUUAACUCUCAUAAUUUAAUUAUUAAUAAUUAUUAUUUUAAAGAUCCUAUUUUAUGGAUAAUUAGAUUAAAUUACCUUAGGGAUAACAGCGUAAUUCUUUUUGAGAGUUCUUAUCGAUGAAGGAGUUUGCGACCUCGAUGUUGGAUUAAAAUUAGAUUUUAGUGCAGAAGCUAAAU
This 436-nucleotide ribosomal RNA is filed under the name Bagrada hilaris. RNAcentral's name for it is "partial 16S ribosomal RNA". It matches the Rfam family "Archaeal large subunit ribosomal RNA", at positions 1999 to 2636 of the family's 2987-position model. Lineage: Eukaryota; Metazoa; Arthropoda; Insecta; Hemiptera; Pentatomidae. The record is from RNAcentral.